UUCAAUGACAGGUCUUAUUAUUAGCGAGAUACGAUUAAGCCUUGUCUAGCGGCUUGAUAAGAGAUUGAUAGACUCGCAGUUUCUAGACUUGAGUUAUGUGUCGAGGGGCUGUUAAAAUAAUACAUAACCUAUGGUUGUAGACAAAUAUGUUGGCAGGUGUUUGGACGUGGGUUCGACUCCCACCGGCUCCAUUA
This 194-nucleotide transfer-messenger RNA is filed under the name Streptococcus pneumoniae. RNAcentral describes it as "partial transfer-messenger RNA". It matches the Rfam family "transfer-messenger RNA", at positions 171 to 374 of the family's 374-position model. Rfam says of the family: Bacterial tmRNA, also known as 10Sa RNA or SsrA, is named for its dual tRNA and mRNA-like properties. Its role is to liberate the mRNA from a stalled ribosome. The record is from RNAcentral. Lineage: Bacteria; Bacillati; Bacillota; Bacilli; Lactobacillales; Streptococcaceae.